Long non-coding RNA from Peromyscus eremicus (cactus mouse), 345 nucleotides. RefSeq lists it as uncharacterized. The transcript is spliced from 2 exons. The record is from RefSeq and is a predicted model, not a curated record. Lineage: Eukaryota; Metazoa; Chordata; Mammalia; Rodentia; Cricetidae.
UCUAUAAAUGCUUGCGCUUCUGCGGCGGGCGUUCUUUUGGGAGAACUGGAAGGUGUCUGUUGGUGGCGGUUUGUGGAGCACAUUUUGCCGUUAGUAGUCGCGAAGUGGAACUCGAUGGGCCCCUCAACUGCAGGCCAGCCUUCCUCGAGUGCUGCGGUGGUCUGGGCUCUGCUUUAGUCCCCUCAAUCUUCUGACUCCCUUUUUGCAGAGCAUGGUGAGUCGACGGCAGACCUUGACGGUAAAUCAGCUGCGUCCAGAGUCUUAACAAUGGGCAGGAGGGUUUGCUGGUAAGCUGGGCAUCUGUGUAUCUGAAUUGCUUUGCAAUAAAGCGGAAGUACAAUCUUG